CCUACGGGUGGCUGCAGUGGGGAAUAUUGGACAAUGGGGGGAACCCUGAUCCAGCCAUGCCGCGUGUGUGAAGAAGGCCCUCGGGUUGUAAAGCACUUUCAGUGAGGAAGAACGCCUGGUGGUUAAUACCCAUCAGGAAAGACAUCACUCACAGAAGAAGCACCGGCUAACUCCGUGCCAGCAGCCGCGGUAAUACGGAGGGUGCGAGCGUUAAUCGGAAUUACUGGGCGUAAAGCGCGCGUAGGUGGCUUGAUAAGCCGGUUGUGAAAGCCCCGGGCUCAACCUGGGAACGGCAUCCGGAACUGUCAAGCUAGAGUGCAGGAGAGGAAGGUAGAAUUCCCGGUGUAGCGGUGAAAUGCGUAGAGAUCGGGAGGAAUACCAGUGGCGAAGGCGGCCUUCUGGACUGACACUGACACUGAGGUGCGAAAGCGUGGGUAGCAAACAGGAUUAGAUACCCUAUAGUC
RNAcentral lists this ribosomal RNA (464 nucleotides) under Vreelandella stevensii. RNAcentral describes it as "partial 16S ribosomal RNA". It matches the Rfam family "Bacterial small subunit ribosomal RNA", at positions 338 to 795 of the family's 1533-position model. Lineage: Bacteria; Pseudomonadati; Pseudomonadota; Gammaproteobacteria; Oceanospirillales; Halomonadaceae. The record is from RNAcentral.